GUCCUCGAGUUGUUGCGGGCAGAUGAAGUGGAUGUGGCUGUCGAAGGCGCCUGCGGUGAGGAUGCGCCCCUCGCCCGCGAUGAUCUCGGUGCCCGGCCCGAUGACGAUAUCGACGCCGGGCUGGGUGUCGGGGUUGCCGGCCUUGCCGAUGGCCGCGAUCCGCCCGUCGCGCAGGGCCACGUCUGCCUUGUAGAUGCCGGUGGCGUCCACGAUCAGCGCGUUGGUGACCACGGUAUCGGCGGUCCCUUCGGCGCGCGUCGCCUGGCUUUGGCCCAUGCCGUCGCGGAU
Molecule: small RNA, 288 nt
Rfam family: 5' ureB small RNA